GGUGGCUCAGUGGUAGAGUGCUUGCCUUGCAUGCAUGGAACCCUGGGUUCAAUUCCUCAGUACCA
This 65-nucleotide transfer RNA is filed under the name Dipodomys ordii (Ord's kangaroo rat). It matches the Rfam family "tRNA". From Rfam's summary of the family: Transfer RNA (tRNA) molecules are approximately 80 nucleotides in length. Their secondary structure includes four short double-helical elements and three loops (D, anti-codon, and T loops). Lineage: Eukaryota; Metazoa; Chordata; Mammalia; Rodentia; Heteromyidae. The record is from Rfam by way of RNAcentral.